RNAcentral lists this ribosomal RNA (253 nucleotides) under uncultured bacterium. Its description in RNAcentral is "partial 16S ribosomal RNA". It matches the Rfam family "Bacterial small subunit ribosomal RNA", at positions 524 to 776 of the family's 1533-position model. The record is from RNAcentral.
UACAGAGGGUGCAAGCGUUGUUCGGAAUUACUGGGCGUAAAGCGCGUGUAGGCGGCUUGGCAAGUCUCGUGUGAAAGCCCUGGGCUCAACCCGGGAACUGCGUCCGAUACUGGCGGGCUUGAAUCCGGGAGAGGGAUGCGGAAUUCCAGGUGUAGCGGUGAAAUGCGUAGAUAUCUGGAGGAACACCGGUGGCGAAGGCGGCAUCCUGGACCGGCAUUGACGCUGAGGCGCGAAAGCCAGGGGAGCAAACGGG